This 497-nucleotide ribosomal RNA is filed under the name uncultured bacterium. RNAcentral describes it as "bacterial SSU rRNA". It matches the Rfam family "Bacterial small subunit ribosomal RNA", at positions 899 to 1397 of the family's 1533-position model. The record is from RNAcentral.
ACUCAAAUGAAUAGACGGGGGCCCGCACAAGCGGCGGAGCAUGUUGCUUAAUUCGACGCAACGCGAAGAACCUUACCAAGGCUUGACAUGCAGGGAAAAGCCGUAGAGAUACGGUGUCCGUAAGGGCCCUGCACAGGUGGUGCAUGGCUGUCGUCAGCUCGUGUCGUGAGAUGUUGGGUUAAGUCCCGCAACGAGCGCAACCCUCGUCCUAUGUUGCCAGCGGGUAAUGCCGGGGACUCAUAGGAGACUGCCGGGGUCAACUCGGAGGAAGGUGGGGAUGACGUCAAGUCAUCAUGCCCCUUAUGUCUUGGGCUGCAAACAUGCUACAAUGGCCGGUACAAAGGGCUGCGAGACCGCAAGGUGGAGCGAAUCUCGAAAAGCCGGCCUCAGUUCGGAUUGGGGUCUGCAACUCGACCCCAUGAAGUCGGAGUCGCUAGUAAUCGCGAAUCAGCAAUGUCGCGGUGAAUACGUUCCCGGGCCUUGUACACACCGCCCGU